CAAAAGUUUGACUCUGGCUAAUUGUUUUCUUUUUGAUUUAAAUGCAUGUAAAUAUAAAUAAGACAAUUUUAUUUCUCUCUAAAUGAAUGAGAAAAAUUACUUGAAGUAAUUUUUUAUAAUAUCUUAAUUCUCAGCAUAUAGUAUUAGUUUUAUUAGUGGUAGCUAGAACUAGGAAAUCAUUUUAAACCUGGCUAAAAUUGUGCCAGCCGCCGCGGUUAUACUGUGAGGUUAAGUAAACAAAUUUUGGUUAAAAAGGAUUAUUGUAGCUGUUAUUGAAAUAAAAAUAAGGUAUUAGGUGUGGGUGAAAUAAGUAACUAAAAUAUUGUUUUUAUUUAGAUUAAUAUACAAGAAGUCUAAAAUUUUUAGAUAUAAAUCAGGAUUAGAUACCCUGUUAUACUUAAAUUAAAUGAAUUAAACCUGGGUAGUACAUAGUUAUAUUCUUGAAACCCAAAGAGUUUGGCGGUAUCUCAGUCUAGUUAGAGGAGCUUGUUCGGUAAUCGAUAAUCCGCGAAAAAUCUUACGCACUUUUGUAGUCAGUUUAUAUACCGUCGUUACUAGAUAAUACUAAAAAGUAAAUAAUUAUCUAAACAUAUUUAAAUAUAAUAUAUCAGAUCAAGGUGUAGCUUAUGAGUGCGAGUUGAAUGAGCUACAAUUUAGUAUAUAAAAAUGGAUAUUGUUUUUAAAUAAUCAAUUAAAGGUGGAUUUAAUAGUAAUUGUAAUUUUUAAUAAGUUAUAAUGAUAAUAGCUCUGAGAUAUGUACACAUCGCCCGUCGCUCUCACUACAAAGUGAGAUAAGUCGUAACAUAGUAGGGGUGCUGGAAAGGGCCCCUAGAAUG
This 836-nucleotide non-coding RNA is filed under the name Harpiosquilla harpax. The record is from RNAcentral. Lineage: Eukaryota; Metazoa; Arthropoda; Malacostraca; Stomatopoda; Squillidae.